ACCUGCGCCAUUUUGUUGUGGUUUUGAGCGGUCGAGGUCGCUUGUUUGUUCAUGUGUUCGUGAGAGGAAAAGAAAGUACACGUACACACACAAAACACACAUUUGUAGCAUUUGUUUAACUCAAACAUCGUUGAUGUUUUAAAGAAAACCAUUUUAAAAAACUUCUUUGCCUCGCAGAUCCGUUUUUAAUAUAUAUAUAUAUCUAAAAAGAGCGAGGCCUAAGGGCGGAAGACGAUCCGGGCAGCAAGGCCUGAGUACCGAGGAUUAAGAGGAAAACAUUCAACUUCAGGCCGAACAAAAAGGCUUCUAACGUUCAGAUUCGACCGAUUAAGGCACCCUAUCAUUUUAAGGUGACAAUCAGAAAAGAUGGCAGAUGAUUUGGAUAUUGAAGCAAUGCUCGAAGCACCAUACAGGAAGGAGACUUGCCUAGUGAUAUCACAUCUCUACUACCAUGAAUACAGCUUUGAUUCCAGUCUGAACUAUCAAACAAUAAGGAUGAGAACAAAUCGAGCAAAGCCAAUGGACAAGAGGAGCGCAGUAAAAAG
Chiloscyllium plagiosum (whitespotted bambooshark) is the source of this 545-nucleotide non-coding RNA. NCBI's taxonomy places the organism in Eukaryota, Metazoa, Chordata, Chondrichthyes, Orectolobiformes, Hemiscylliidae. The record is from RefSeq and is a predicted model, not a curated record.